This is a non-coding RNA of Amylostereum chailletii, 112 nucleotides long. The record is from the annotation of a GenBank genome assembly. Lineage: Eukaryota; Fungi; Basidiomycota; Agaricomycetes; Russulales; Stereaceae.
GGCGAGAUGGCCGAGCGGUCUAAGGCGCCAGACUAAGGUAGUGGGAUUUGAACCCACGAAAUGGCAAAAAAUCUGGUCCUCACGGGCGUGGGUUCGAAUCCCACUCUCGUCA